RNAcentral lists this unclassified non-coding RNA (253 nucleotides) under plant metagenome. RNAcentral's name for it is "partial contains small subunit ribosomal RNA, internal transcribed spacer 1, and 5.8S ribosomal RNA". The record is from RNAcentral.
UUUCCGUAGGUGAACCUGCGGAAGGAUCAUUACUGAGUUUUGAAUAAAGUUGUUCUGGUCUUUCGGGGCAAGUGAACGCUUCUCUCAAUCCAUCUUACACCUGUGCACCUAUCGGGGAAGACUUGGAUCUAAGUUGGGUCACGACGGCGAUCUACAGUCUCCUCUUUAUACCAAAUAACAGUUUUAGAAAGUCUUUUUUGCUUGAUGCAAACUUAAAUAAAUACAACUUUCAGCAACGGAUCUCUUGGCUCUC